UUUCAGUUUAAUUAUAGUUUUCUCUUUUUUUU
RNAcentral lists this small RNA (32 nucleotides) under Arabidopsis thaliana (thale cress). Its description in RNAcentral is "ATSL290250". Lineage: Eukaryota; Viridiplantae; Streptophyta; Magnoliopsida; Brassicales; Brassicaceae. The record is from RNAcentral.